RNAcentral lists this ribosomal RNA (305 nucleotides) under uncultured bacterium. RNAcentral describes it as "bacterial SSU rRNA". It matches the Rfam family "Bacterial small subunit ribosomal RNA", at positions 337 to 635 of the family's 1533-position model. The record is from RNAcentral.
UCCUACGGGGCGCAGCAGUAGGGAAUUUUCGUCAAUGGGCGCAAGCCUGAACGAGCAAUGCCGCGUGAACGAGGAAGGUCUUCGGAUCGUAAAGUUCUGUUGAAGGGGAAAAAGAGCGGAGAGAGGAAAUGGUCUCCGAUUGAUAUUACCCUUCGAGGAAGUCACGGCUAACUACGUGCCAGCAGCCGCGGUAAUACGUAGGUGGCGAGCGUUAUCCGGAAUUAUUGGGCGUAAAGGGUGCGUAGGCGGCCUGCUAAGUCUGAAGUGAAAGGUACCGGCUCAACCGGUACAGGCUCUGGAAAAUG